RNAcentral lists this ribosomal RNA (234 nucleotides) under uncultured bacterium. RNAcentral's name for it is "partial 16S ribosomal RNA". It matches the Rfam family "Bacterial small subunit ribosomal RNA", at positions 118 to 347 of the family's 1533-position model. The record is from RNAcentral.
UGAGGAACAUGACCUUCGGCGGGGGAUAGCCGGCCCAACGGCCGGGUAAUACCGCGUACGACCCUCGGGGGGCAUCCCCUGAAGGUGAAAGCCGCAAGGCGCCGAUGGAGAACUUCGCGGCCUAUCAGCUUGUUGGUGAGGUCAUGGCUCACCAAGGCGACGACGGGUAGCUGGUCCGAGAGGAUGACCAGCCACAUUGGGACUGAGACACGGCCCAGACUCCUACGGGAGCAG